Molecule: ribosomal RNA, 253 nt
Filed under: uncultured bacterium
Lineage: Bacteria
Description: partial 16S ribosomal RNA
Rfam family: Bacterial small subunit ribosomal RNA
Source: RNAcentral
UACGAAGGGGGCUAGCGUUGUUCGGAUUUACUGGGCGUAAAGCGCACGUAGGCGGAUUGGUCAGUUAGGGGUGAAAUCCCAGAGCUCAACUCUGGAACUGCCUUUAAUACUGCCAAUCUAGAGUCCGGAAGAGGUGAGUGGAACUCCUAGUGUAGAGGUGGAAUUCGUAGAUAUUAGGAAGAACACCAGUGGCGAAGGCGGCUCACUGGUCCGGUACUGACGCUGAGGUGCGAAAGCGUGGGGAGCAAACAGG